This 380-nucleotide ribosomal RNA is filed under the name uncultured eukaryote. RNAcentral describes it as "partial 18S ribosomal RNA". It matches the Rfam family "Eukaryotic small subunit ribosomal RNA", at positions 592 to 976 of the family's 1831-position model. The record is from RNAcentral.
CAAUAGCGUAUAUUAAAGUUGUUGCGGUUAAAAAGCUCGUAGUUGGAUUUCUGCUGAGAACGACCGGUCCGCCCUUUGGGUGUGUAUCUGGCUCUUUCUUGGCAUCUUCUUGGUGAACGUUGCUGCACUUGACUGUGUGGAGCGCUACCCAGGACUUUUACUUUGAGGAAAUUAGAGUGUUUCAAGCAGGCAUACGCCUUGAAUACAUUAGCAUGGAAUAAUAAGAUAGGACCUCGGUUCUAUUUUGUUGGUUUCUAGAGCUGAGGUAAUGAUUAAUAGGGAUAGUUGGGGGCAUUCGUAUUUAACUGUCAGAGGUGAAAUUCUUGGAUUUGUUAAAGACGGACUACUGCGAAAACGUUUGCCAAGGAUGUUUUCAUUGA